UUUAUUAAAUUUUUUUUUUCUUUUUUUACCUCCUCAUCUUAUUUAGGCAUACACUUAUGCCUUGCACCAAGGCCCCAAGACCCCUCUAUGCUUUACUAUGCCUUCUGCCUUUAACAACUAUGGGCUUCUCACAUUGAUGCAUCCAACCAAAAACUUAAGUUGAGGAAUGUACUAUAUCUCUACCUACUUCUUGACUUCAUUAUCCAUUAUGAAAAAUAUACAACAUAAAGAAACCUUCUAAC
RNAcentral lists this unclassified non-coding RNA (242 nucleotides) under Hevea brasiliensis (rubber tree). Lineage: Eukaryota; Viridiplantae; Streptophyta; Magnoliopsida; Malpighiales; Euphorbiaceae. The record is from RNAcentral.